RNAcentral lists this ribosomal RNA (253 nucleotides) under uncultured bacterium. Its description in RNAcentral is "partial 16S ribosomal RNA". It matches the Rfam family "Bacterial small subunit ribosomal RNA", at positions 524 to 776 of the family's 1533-position model. The record is from RNAcentral.
UACGGAAGGGGCAAGCGUUGUUCGGAAUCAUUGGGCGUAAAGGGCGCGUAGGUGGUCUUGUAUGUCUACCGUGAAAGCAUACAGCUCAACUGUAUUUUGUCGGUAGAAACUGCAGGACUUGAGGCUGGGAGGGGCUGGUGGAAUUCCCUGUGUAGCGGUGAAAUGCGUAGAGAUGGGGGAGAACACUCGUGGCGAAGGCGACAUCCUGGACCGGUAUUGACGCUGAGGCGCGAAAGCCAGGGGAGCAAACGGG